RNAcentral lists this ribosomal RNA (505 nucleotides) under uncultured bacterium. RNAcentral's name for it is "bacterial SSU rRNA". It matches the Rfam family "Bacterial small subunit ribosomal RNA", at positions 43 to 518 of the family's 1533-position model. The record is from RNAcentral.
CGUGCCUAAUACAUGCAAGUCGAACGGUCUUUUCUAUGGAAGCUUGCUUCCGCUGAGAAGAUAGUGGCGGAACGGGUGAGUAACACGUGGGUAACCUGCCCAUAAGAGGGGGAUAACAUCCGGAAACGGGUGCUAAUACCGCAUAGUUUUUCUUGAUCGCAUGAUCGGGAAAGGAAAGACGGCCUUUGUGCUGUCGCUUAUGGAUGGACCCGCGGCGUAUUAGUUAGUUGGUGAGGUAACGGCUCACCAAGACGAUGAUACGUAGCCGACCUGAGAGGGUGAUCGGCCACAUUGGACUGAGACACGGCCCAAACUCCUACGGGAGGCAGCAGUAGGGAAUCUUCCGCAAUGGACGAAAGUCUGACGGAGCAACGCCGCGUGAGUGAAGAAGGUUUUUCCGGAUCGUAAAACUCUGUUGUCAGAGAAGAACAAGUUGGAGAGUAACUGCUCCAGCCUUGACGGUAUCUGACCAGAAAGCCACGGCUAACUACGUGCCAGCAGCAGC